GACGAACGCUGGCGGCGUGCUUAACACAUGCAAGUCGAACGGAAAGGCCCUGCUUUUGUGGGGUGCUCGAGUGGCGAACGGGUGAGUAACACGUGAGUAACCUGCCCUUGACUUUGGGAUAACUUCAGGAAACUGGGGCUAAUACCGGAUAGGAGCUCCUGCUGCAUGGUGGGGGUUGGAAAGUUUCGGCGGUUGGGGAUGGACUCGCGGCUUAUCAGCUUGUUGGUGGGGUAGUGGCUUACCAAGGCUUUGACGGGUAGCCGGCCUGAGAGGGUGACCGGCCACAUUGGGACUGAGAUACGGCCCAGACUCCUACGGGAGGCAGCAGUGGGGAAUAUUGCACAAUGGGCGGAAGCCUGGUGCAGCAACGCCGCGUGCGGGAUGACGGCCUUCGGGUUGUAAACCGCUUUCGCCUGUGACGAAGCGUGAGUGACAGUAAUGGGUAAAGAAGCACCGGCUAACUACGUG
Molecule: ribosomal RNA, 468 nt
Filed under: uncultured bacterium
Lineage: Bacteria
Description: partial 16S ribosomal RNA
Rfam family: Bacterial small subunit ribosomal RNA
Source: RNAcentral